Molecule: ribosomal RNA, 409 nt
Filed under: uncultured bacterium
Lineage: Bacteria
Description: bacterial SSU rRNA
Rfam family: Bacterial small subunit ribosomal RNA
Source: RNAcentral
UGGGGAAUAUUGCGCAAUGGGCGAAAGCCUGACGCAGCGACGCCGCGUGAGGGACGAAGGCCUUAGGGUUGUAAACCUCUUUCAGCAGGGACGAAGGGAAACUGACGGUACCUGCAGAAGAAGCACCGGCUAACUACGUGCCAGCAGCCGCGGUAAUACGUAGGGUGCAAGCGUUGUCCGGAUUUAUUGGGCGUAAAGAGCUCGUAGGCGGCUUGUCACGUCGGAUGUGAAAACCCAGGGCUCAACCCUGGGCCUGCAUUCGAUACGGGCAGGCUAGAGGAUGGUAGGGGAGACUGGAAUUCCUGGUGUAGCGGUGAAAUGCGCAGAUAUCAGGAGGAACACCGGUGGCGAAGGCGGGUCUCUGGGCCAAUCCUGACGCUGAGGAGCGAAAGCGUGGGGAGCAAACAGG